This 424-nucleotide ribosomal RNA is filed under the name uncultured prokaryote. Its description in RNAcentral is "bacterial SSU rRNA". It matches the Rfam family "Bacterial small subunit ribosomal RNA", at positions 355 to 774 of the family's 1533-position model. The record is from RNAcentral.
CAACGAAUAUUCCGCAAUGGGCGCAAGCCUGACGGAGCGACGCCGCGUGGGGGAUGAAGUCCCUUCGGGAUGUAAACUCCAAUAGCACGCCAGGAAGUAAUCCUGGCUAAUAUCCAGGAAAGUUGACCAGCGUACGAAAGAGGCGGCUAACUCCGUGCCAGCAGCCGCGGUAAUACGGAGGCCUCGAGCGUUGUUCGGAAUCACUGGGCUUAAAGCGCGUGUAGGCGGAACGGUAAGUACCUUGUGAAAUCCCCGGCUUCAAUCCGGGAACUGCUCGGUAUACUGCCGUUCUUGAGGCAGGUAGGGGUCACUGGAACCUUAGGUGGAGCGGUGAAAUGCGUAGAUAUCUAAGGGAACGCCUGUGGCGAAAGCGGGUGACUGGGCCUGUCCUGACGCUGAGACGCGAAAGCGUAGGGAGCGAACG